This is a long non-coding RNA of Cairina moschata (Muscovy duck), 1925 nucleotides long. The record is from Ensembl. NCBI's taxonomy places the organism in Eukaryota, Metazoa, Chordata, Aves, Anseriformes, Anatidae.
AUGCGUGCAGGUUUGUGUAAGACUGGCACCUUGCUGACUCACGCGCCGUGUCGCAGCAUGCCGCUCCCCGCAGCCCUUGUGCAAGCUCCCCGAGGCGGCGGGCGGCCGCAGGAACCCUCUCUGCUUCGUGGGGUGAAGCUGCUGGAAGGACACAGGCCACGUCUGGGUGGCUCUGUUCCAGUGCUGUGCAUGGCUGCGGCUUGGUUUGGUUUUCCACCCUGCAGAUCUGGGCAGAGACUGGGCAUCGAAAGAAAACCGAUACGAGAUACACAGAAAAUGAGAAAAGUCUUCAGCUCUACGCCGCAGGCUGAAUUUUCUCCACAGAGGAUACCUGCAGCAUGCACAGACUUCACUGCCAGAAGGAACGAGUCAUUUAUUAGGUUUAUAUAGCACCGGGCACUUCGAGCAAGUCAUACAGAGCCAUGUGAUUCAUGCAAACCGCAGAGCUAAUCCUGAGACAGUGUCAUCGGUGAAGAAAAGCUAAGCUGCGACUGGCACUCCUGGCCAGGAACAAGCAGGGUCUCUGCCCUGGCUGUCUGGGGACGACGUCCCAGGGCUCCAAGCCCAGAGCUCACCAGGCUCACGGCAGCGGCGGCAGCGAGGAAUCCAGCCAUUGUCAGCGCCGUCCGACACAAGAACACAGGGCUUGAGUUGAUUAUUUGUGUCUGUUUCAACCGGGACAGUCCUAAUUUUCAAUUGCUGGUUUUUAUUUCAGUAAUCGGAAAGCACUCCUAAUUCAUUUUGCUCUUUUCUUCUGUGCGUCUUGAAAACAGCGCUGUGCUCAGACGAUAAAACAUCCUCUUGCUCUCCAAAAGUGUUUUUAUGUUCUUGUGUGAUGUGAAUUCUAAUCAGGCCUGUGGCAACAGCAUUAAUCUGAUAUUUUUUUUCCAAUUCCAUUUGAAGCUGUUGACCUCCUAUCAGAUAUUUUCAAAUCAGCAGCUCAUCUUUUCCUAUGAAACAAGCCCAAAUAUAAUAUGUAUUUCUCACCUCCUUGGUGCUCUGAAACUAAAAAAAAAAGAAAAAAAAAAGAGUGAUGAGGUUGCUACACAUCUAGUGUAACAGCAGGGCUGCUUCGUUGUUUCCUGGGUUGCUGUCAGCAUUUGACGAGAAGGGAAGGCAAAAGGUGGUUUAGUAUUGUAAGAGCAAAGGUGCUGUGAAACUCCAUGCUGGGGACCAUCCAAAAAAUCCACCUGUGCUUUGCAGCCCCUACAAAUCCUUCCUUAAAACUCAUUCAUGCAUUAAAAAAAUAUGUUUUGUAGUCUUGGUGCUGUAUCAUGAUAGAGAAACUCAAGAUAAACAGGCAAAGUAAAUCUUCCUGUGAUUUUGUAAAGGUUGUUCACGGCUGUAACAUUAAUUCAUUGUUCAGGAAACCUUCCCUUCGGUGGAAUAUAUCAUGUGCCUGCCUUUGUCAGGCGAUUGCUGAGGAUGUAUCCCCAACACGUCAACGCAGCGCUGCAGCUGUGUGCGGUCACCGGUAACUUUCUGGACACUGGAGAAGCUCCGAGGGAAAGUAAAUGUCAUGGAAGUUCAUGAAGAAGGUAGAUAGAUAGAAAGAUGUAAGUAUUUAUAGGCCUGUCUCCCUGACACGAGUCCCAGCAGCACAAUAGAGUGACUCACAUGGAUCCCGAUUAACAAGGAGGGAAAUAUAAUUAAUGCCAAUCAACAGGGUUUUAUGGGAAGGGACCCUUUCAAACUGACGUGUUAUCUUUUACUGAGCAGAUUGCAAGAUUGAGUGAUAAAGUUAACAAAGCUGAUGGAAAAAAAAAAAACAACUUUGACUUCUUUAAGGCCCCCGACUUGUGGCAGCAGAAGGAUGGGAACGCCGUGUGGCACGUCCCCAGCACCUAGCUGAUCGCCUUACACCACCACCGUGCUGCUCCUGGAGGGGCUCUGGGGGCACCUCAGGUGGCAGACCCUGCUCCCUG